GCAGUCACCGCCAACUGGAGCUUCUAACCCCUUUUCGCUUGCUUCUCAAACGCUGCAACCAGACGCUUUCCUCAUCGAAACGCCAUUGAUGGCACCCUUCUAUCCCAAUUCGGAACCCUAUUCAGACCUUUUCGUCACUUACUCCUCUCAAAAAGACGCAUCAUCCAGACCAAGUGCGCUUUCCUUGUGUAAGAACUGCUUUCGGUGGUAUAAAUGCAUCUGUUGUUUAAAUAGGUACGACCAUCAGGUAGCCAGCAGCCCUGUGUCGCUGUCUCAGUAUUGUUCAGCCCUAAUUCCUUCAAGUCUGUCGUUCUGCUGGACAAGCUUUUGACAGGUAAGUUGUAAACCCUAAGUAUAAAUUCUGAAAUUACUUGGGUUUUGUUGUCUACAUGUGGAAAUUUGGGUUCUUGCACAUCAAAUUACCUCAUACACACAUGGUAUGUCAUCAGCAUAAUCAUUCAUAUGCAUAUUUGUUGAUUCUAGAAUCAAAUAUGUUAUCUGCACUUUCUAAUUUUUGAUGAAUUAUAGAUUAGUGACUUCCAUUCCUUUUAUUAGGCUCAAUCCAGGAAGAUUGGAAGUUCUUGGGAUGUUCACGUUAGAAUGUGUUGCUUACAGGCAGAUUGGAAGUUCCUGGGACAUCAUUUUCUUAUAUUAUAAAAAAAAUUUAUCAACAAAAGGCUAAUAUUUGGUUUUUUUUAUAAAAUUGUUUAAUGCAGGAACAUCUGAAAAAAGGCUAUUUCUAUUGACGAAAUGGUAGUUAUAGAUAUUAAAACCAAAUGUGGAGAUCAAGACGGUGAACCACGAAUACAGGACGAGUGUUAACAAAUUGUAAGCAACUUAUGACUCUGGAAUUGGACCAAAGAAGGAGUGUUACUCAUUAUAUGGUCGCUGUUUUGAGAUCAAAGAG
Lactuca sativa (garden lettuce) is the source of this 907-nucleotide non-coding RNA. The record is from RefSeq and is a predicted model, not a curated record. NCBI's taxonomy places the organism in Eukaryota, Viridiplantae, Streptophyta, Magnoliopsida, Asterales, Asteraceae.